GUUCAGAGGGCAUAAUUAUGCUCAAGGAGGGCAGAGGAGUCCCAAGGCACUUGGUGCUCCCAGGGAACUCUUGACUCUUUAUUUAUUUAUCUGACCGAAUAUAACUGCGUCUUGGGUCACUGGGCCUUCAGCAGGGGCUGGUAACAUAGAAAUGUCCAUGGGCAUUUAUUAAUAGUUCCAAAACAAUCCUGAGAUCUCCAAAUGCUAGCACGUGAUUUACCAGCCUUGGUUAUGAAAUACUCUUGGGUACUGUGUGCCCUCAAGUGUAAGUUCAGAUGAAUCAGCUGAAGAAGAGAAACACUAUGCCAAGGAACUACUAAAGGGGUAAAACCAGACUUCCUGCCACGGAGCAUUAGGCCUGGGACUGGCACAUGAAAGAAAUCAGGAAAGCUGCAAAUAAGUGGAUUUACAAACUGGUUGGCACAACUGCCUUGUGGAAAUGCAAUAAAGGUGGCUGUAGCUCCAGAAAGGAACCAGCCUGGACCAGGAGACAGGAUAAAGAAUGGUGCCUCACAGGGCACCGGGACUACAGAUCAGCUGAGCAAGAUGGGAGUAUGUGUGAGCAUGCACUGGGACAGAAGACUCACAGCUUCCCUGAAGCCAUGCAAGCAGCACACGGCCACAGAGAGAGAGAGAGGCAGAGACACAGGCAGAGGGAGAAGCAGGCUCCAUGCACC
Canis lupus familiaris (dog) is the source of this 677-nucleotide long non-coding RNA. RefSeq lists it as uncharacterized. Lineage: Eukaryota; Metazoa; Chordata; Mammalia; Carnivora; Canidae. The transcript has 3 exons. The record is from RefSeq and is a predicted model, not a curated record.